AUUUAUCAAAAUGAUAACACCCAAUUUUUUAAAUGUUAGGCACAAUAUAUUAAAAUAAUAUGCUUCACAUUUGGUUUUACCACAAAAUCCAAAUUUAACAAGACCUUUUCCUUCACAUAUCGUAUCAGAUUUUUAUCGUUACGCCUAAGAGAAAUAAAGUGUCAGUAAACACAUACCCCCCCCCAAAAAAAGGGGAAUUAGCAACCUUGAACUGUUUCGAUCAAGAUACCAUGUUUCGUUGCCAGGCGAUAUCGUUUUUCAGACUUUUUGUGAACAAUUACACCAAAUUCCAGCUUCCUCUAAAAUUUUGUUAUAUUUGUUAAUCCUUAGUUCUGCCUGUUUUUAUAUACAUUUAGAUGCGCAAGUUCUCUCAGUAUGAAUUUCUCGUUCAUUUGAACAAAAACAAAAACACAAAAAUAGAAUUUAAAAAAAAAAGAUGUUCCAUAAUCUUUUAAAUUAUUUAUUUGACAUGUACCACAAAUAACAUGCUCUGUAGAUGUACAAAUAAUACACGAAUACUCAUUUGAACCCGGCUUUUAAUAAACAUUACAAACAGUACAUGUAAAGUUAGCGCUAUGAACAUGAUGAAGGGAAUGUUGAUAUCAUUAAUUUUGAAGUCUUCAACUUUAUCUCGAAACCCUCUGUUGGUUAUAUCUUUAAGAUCAUCCUGUGUUUAAAAGCAAUAUUAUUUCAUCUGGCAAAGGAGCAUGAAAGAAAAAAAUGAUAAUUUGUCUAUAUUCAUUAUUUUUAUCAAACAAAGG
RNAcentral lists this long non-coding RNA (761 nucleotides) under Mytilus galloprovincialis (Mediterranean mussel). Lineage: Eukaryota; Metazoa; Mollusca; Bivalvia; Mytilida; Mytilidae. The record is from RNAcentral.